GACGAACGCUGGCGGCGUGCUUAACACAUGCAAGUCGAACGGAAAGGCCCCUUUGGGGGUACUCGAGUGGCGAACGGGUGAGUAACACGUGAGUAACCUGCCCUUGACUUCGGGAUAACUUCAGGAAACUGGGGCUAAUACCGGAUAGGAAUCCUUGCUGCAUGGUGGGGGUUGGAAAGCUUCGGCGGUUUUGGAUGGACUCGCGGCUUAUCAGCUUGUUGGUGGGGUAGUGGCUUACCAAGGCUUUGACGGGUAGCCGGCCUGAGAGGGCGACCGGCCACAUUGGGACUGAGAUACGGCCCAGACUCCUACGGGAGGCAGCGGUGGGGAAUAUUGCACAAUGGGCGGAAGCCUAAUGCAGCAACGCCGCGUGCGGGAUGACGGCCUUCGGGUUGUAAACCGCUUUCAGCAGGGGCGAAGCUUGUGGUGACGGUACCUGCAGAAGAAGCACCGGCUAACUACGUG
RNAcentral lists this ribosomal RNA (465 nucleotides) under uncultured bacterium. Its description in RNAcentral is "partial 16S ribosomal RNA". It matches the Rfam family "Bacterial small subunit ribosomal RNA", at positions 28 to 507 of the family's 1533-position model. The record is from RNAcentral.